Molecule: ribosomal RNA, 382 nt
Filed under: uncultured bacterium
Lineage: Bacteria
Description: bacterial SSU rRNA
Rfam family: Bacterial small subunit ribosomal RNA
Source: RNAcentral
AUUGAACGCUGGCGGCAUGCCUUACACAUGCAAGCCGAACGGCAGCACGGGAGCAAUCCUGGUGGCGAGUGGCGAACGGGUGAGUAAUAUAUCGGAACGUGCCCAGUCGUGGGGAUAACGUAGCGAAAGCUACGCUAAUACCGCAUACGAUCUAUGGAUGAAAGCGGGGGAUCGCAAGGACCUCGCGCGAUUGGAGCGGCCGAUAUCAGAUUAGGUAGUUGGUGAGGUAAAGGCUCACCAAGCCGACGAUCUGUAGCUGGUCUGAGAGGACGACCAGCCACACUGGGACUGAGACACGGCCCAGACUCCUACGGGAGGCAGCAGUGGGGAAUUUUGGACAAUGGGCGCAAGCCUGAUCCAGCAAUGCCGCGUGCAGGAUGAA